Molecule: long non-coding RNA, 1101 nt
Filed under: Anas platyrhynchos platyrhynchos (common mallard)
Lineage: Eukaryota; Metazoa; Chordata; Aves; Anseriformes; Anatidae
Description: lncRNA (ENSAPLG00000023621.1)
Source: RNAcentral
AUGUUCUCUCAUCCCGAGGCUAUACCUCAGCUGCUGUCCUCAUCAGAAGUGCCAGAACUCCAGCACCCCAGGUUCCUACUUCCCACUUCACACCUCCAGCAUCUCUCACAUUCACAGGCUUGGGAAGAGAGCCCAGAACCAUGCUGUAGCUUGGACUGUGCAUUUUGGUAGGGCCACACAAGAUAAGAAACACUGGUGGAAAGCAUAGUCUCUGGCUGGCAGCCUCGAGUGAGAAUUUCUUCACCGUGACUCUCAGGUGGUAGGAAGCCAUCUCCACUCCUGUGGCACUUGUCAGUGUUGAAGCACACCGAGCAAUCUGCAUGGGAGAGAUAGGGUUGGCAUCAGCAGUUGGGCUGGAUUCAGAUUUUUUCAGAGCAGCAGUUUAGUUUUUUGCACUCCUUAAGCUUUGAGACCAGAGGUUUUGAUUUGAAUCUUUCUCUUCUUAAAGAGCAAAUUAACCACUUUCAUUGCUAAGCGGGUUAUUAUGUUCACAAGGUCCUGCCUUACUAAAGCAGAAUGUAUUGCCUUAUGGAUGUCAGGGAGAACUGAGGAAACAAAGGCAAAAAAAUCCUACUGAGAAACAUCUUGUGCUGAAAGCCAGUUCAGAAGGGAAGUUGUGAAUCUGUCAACAUAACUGCACAGGGAAGAUAAAGGCACAGCAGACACAGACUGAGCAUAUCUACAACACAUCAAACAACAAGUCAAUCAAAGAGUCAUUAGCCCGUUGGACUAUGAACCUUCCACUGCAAUGCUGCCAGAUCAAUCAGUCAAGGGCCAACUGUAGAAAAGCAGUGUAUCAGGUACUGGUCACCAGGGACUAGAAAAAAACAAAACCUUUAAGUGUUCUUCUUUGCCUGAGAAUCUGGACAGAGAGUUCAGUAGAUUCAGGCCUUCAAAGAGAAUUGCUUAAGGGGAUUUUAACGACUGAUGGCUUCACCACUGGGGGAAUCAAGCCACAAAUGGAUGCUGUGUUACUGUAUCAGCCUCCAGCACUCCCCUCACCAGUCCUGUCUUCCUCAUCCUAGCAAUUUUCCAUGGUUAGGGAUGUGAUCCCUGGAGAAGGAUAAAUAAAUAAAUAAAUAAAUAAAUAAAUAAAUACCA